GGAAGUCUUCCACAAUGGACGAAAGUCUGAUGGAGCAACGCCGCGUGAGUGAAGAAGGGUUUCGGCUCGUAAACUCUGUUGUUAAAGAAGAACAUAUCUGAGAGUAACUGUUCAGGUAUUGACGGUAUUUAACCAGAAAGCCACGGCUAACUACGUGCCAG
Molecule: ribosomal RNA, 161 nt
Filed under: uncultured bacterium
Lineage: Bacteria
Description: partial 16S rRNA
Rfam family: Bacterial small subunit ribosomal RNA
Source: RNAcentral